UGCUCUUUUUGUCACCAACUGGAGGUGG
This 28-nucleotide non-coding RNA is filed under the name Rattus norvegicus (Norway rat). Lineage: Eukaryota; Metazoa; Chordata; Mammalia; Rodentia; Muridae. The record is from RNAcentral.